Molecule: long non-coding RNA, 2549 nt
Organism: Aethalodelphis obliquidens (Pacific white-sided dolphin)
Lineage: Eukaryota; Metazoa; Chordata; Mammalia; Artiodactyla; Delphinidae
Exons: 4
Source: RefSeq, a predicted model, not a curated record
UCUUCAGGGCCUUUGCACUCACUGGUCUGCUUGUUGGAGCCCUCCUGUCCUGGCUCUUUCCUUUGACUACGGCUUAUCCUUGCCCCCAAACCAGCUCAUCCUCCAGAGCCAGGGGGGGCACUGGGAAGUGGGAUCCCGCCUUUCUUCUGGACUCUGUGUUGUCAGCCAUGAGCACAUGGUCCUGUGAUUUAAAAUGCCUUUGGCUCUUCUCUGCCACACUGGAGGAUUCCAGAAACCUCUCACUUCCAUUCUCCACCUGGGCCUCAGCCAGUCCUGCAUGACCUGCCCAGAGUCAGAAGGCUUCUUACCAUGAAGGGAUGGCUCCCCGCUCCCACCAUGUCUGGCAGGGCCUCAUCCUUGUCCUUGGGCUGCAGGCCUCAAUUUCCCUGUUUCAGAGAGAGCACUCCACCCACAACUCUGGUGCAGCUUAUCCUUCCUCUGCAAAUUGAGCCCAAACUCCCACCUCCUGGUGGACCCAAGGGUCCCUCAGGUCCCAAGCCUGGGUUCCAGUCCUGCAUACCACCACUCUCAAGCCUGGAAGAGGGGCUGGGAUGCGUGGGGGAAGCCCCAUCUGCUGACACUGAGGUCAUCCCUAGAGGGCCAGGAGAAACAGCUCAACAGCCCCAAGAAACCAGGCAGCUGGCUCUGAUUUCCUUGGGGUUUGGAGGAAGGCAGAGUAGAGAGGAAAAGGACUCAGGUAAGUUUGGCUGGGCUGGCUCCCUGCCCCAAAGUCAUAGGUCAAGGCGAGCCCUUUCCUCUUGCAUGCCGCUCACCAGAAUCUUUGCCCUGGGCUGAUCUCCCCUCCAUUUUAUGACACUUUAGGGCUUGUGGGCAGCACCUCAUGAGCCCACCUGGGGCUCUGAGGGAUGGAAGCCAGGGCUUUAGGGGAGCAGGGGUCCUUGGCUGCUGGCCUCUAGCCACCGUAUCACCCUUGGCCUCCCACUUGAAGCUUCUGAUCCUUCUGAAGCCACCUCUGCCAGGAAAGGCCUGGAGCCCCAGUGGUUUGAGCAGGGGUAGGGGACAGGAGGGUGACUCGGGCAGGGAUUCCCAGCCAGAGCAAAGGCAAGGAGCAAUGAUGGAGUCCGGGAUGGUGCCCUGGUCCAUCUUUGCCAAACCAGCUAUGGUGUUUUGAUUAGGAGAGCCAGCUGUGGCAGGCUCCUGACAGUAAAGCCAAUCCAACCUCUGAGGCUGGGAGGGCGAAGGGGGCUGGGAAUUCCCAGGGCACCUGGCAGGCGGAUGUGCCAGGGGUCUGGGCUGGGUCUGCUUCGGGUGGGCCAAAGGGCGGUGCCUGGUAGGUCUCGCUGUAGCUGCCAGGCCUACUUGCCUCAUUAGCAUCUGCCUACUGCCAGCCUGGGCCUGUCUGGUCCCCUCCCCAUCAGUCCACACAGCCGUUUUUCAGGAAUUCCUCCUAUAAGGCUUUGAUGGUGACAGUGAUGGAGAUCAUGUGACCAAGAUGAAGUUGGGGAAAUGGCCUGGGAACCAGCUGGCCUGGCCCUGACACAAGGUUGUUGUGUUGAGGCCUCAGCGCUCAGCCCUGUUCUAGGUUUCAUGCCCAACACCAUCCCAUAUGGGCUCAGCUGUCCAGCGGUCGCCUGGAGCUCUAUGUGCCAUGUUCUCAGGAGUGCCUUGGCCUGACACCUGUACCAGACGAGGUCAAGUGCUGACCACCUGCCAGACCCUGCGCUGGACAUAGCAGGACAACCCGUUGUGGCCCUCAGAUGACCAAGGUAUGAGAAGCUGGGGAUCAUCAAGUAGCUGCUCAGAACCCCACACCCUCCCUCUGGCCGGCUCUAGGCGCCCUGAGGUCUGCUUUUCACCAGCAGCCCUGUGAGGCCAGUGCUACUCUUACCCCAUGCUGUGGAUGAGGAGGCCAAGGCACAGAAAGGUAAAGUCAGAGCAUUCCUGGCAGUAGGGACAGUAGGUACAAAGGCCCUGGGGCUGGAAUGUUCCUGGUGUGUCCGAGGAAUAAUCAGGAGGCUGGCGUGGUGGGAGGGGCAUGAAGGGAGGGUGGAGGGUGGUAGGAGAUGGGGGUGGGGGAAUGGGCAGGAUUGAGUAGGGCCUCUUGGCUGUGGUGAGCAUUGUGGCCUAUACUUGAAGGAGGCUGGGGAACUGCUGGAAGGGGUUGAGCAGGGAUGGCAUGAACUAUCUUACAAGUUUUCUUUUUAUUAUUAUUUUUUAAUCUUACAGCUUAGCCGACUCUGGUUGCUAUGUUGAGAACAGAGGGAGUGGGCCAAGGGCAGAAGUAGACCAGGCAGGAAAGGAGCAGGCAUCAUCUCAGCAGGUCCUGGCUCCUUGUGGGGCUAGCUCAGGAUGGCCUGAGUGGUGGGCAGAUUGGAAGGGCUCUCACCUGACCUGCCCCAGCCUAAGCCCCCUUCCCUCACCAGAGGGGCCUCCAUAGCUGAGGUUCCCCCAAACCAGAGGCAAUUAUCCCAACAGGAGCUUUGGGAGGAAAUACAGAUGGCCAAUAGGCACAUGAAAAGAUGCUCAACAUCGCUGAUUAUUAGAGAAAUGCAAAUCAAAACUACAACGAGGUAUCACCUCACACCAGU